RNAcentral lists this ribosomal RNA (254 nucleotides) under uncultured bacterium. RNAcentral describes it as "partial 16S ribosomal RNA". It matches the Rfam family "Bacterial small subunit ribosomal RNA", at positions 524 to 776 of the family's 1533-position model. The record is from RNAcentral.
UACGGAGGGGGCAAGCGUUGUUCGGAAUUACUGGGCGUAAAGGGCGCGCAGGCGGCUGCUCAAGUCAGGCGUGAAAGGCCUGGGCUCAACCCGGGAAUUGCGCUUGAGACUGGGCUGGCUUGAGUGCGGGAGAGGAUGGUGGAAUUCCCAGUGUAGAGGUGAAAUUCGUAGAUAUUGGGAAGAACACCGGUGGCGAAGGCGGCCAUCUGGACCGCAACUGACGCUGAGGCGCGAAAGCCAGGGGAGCAAACGGG